Molecule: transfer RNA, 63 nt
Filed under: Cerion incanum
Lineage: Eukaryota; Metazoa; Mollusca; Gastropoda; Stylommatophora; Cerionidae
Description: tRNA-Thr
Source: RNAcentral
GAUAGUAGCUUAGUCAAAGCGCUGAAUUUGUAAUUCAUUGAAGGUAAACAUUACCCAUCUAGU